UGUGUGUGUGUGUGUGUGUGUGUGUGUGUGUGUGUGUGUGUGUGUGUGUGUGUGUACACACACACACACACACGCACACACAUACAUACAUACAUACAUAUAUAUAUAUAUAUAUAUAUAUAUAUAUAUAUAUAUAUAUAUAUAUAUAUCCUACCACCUCCAUACUCACGCACACAC
This 177-nucleotide small nucleolar RNA is filed under the name Penaeus japonicus. RNAcentral's name for it is "small nucleolar RNA SNORA23". It matches the Rfam family "Small nucleolar RNA SNORA23". Rfam says of the family: The members of this family belong to the H/ACA class of snoRNAs which are thought to guide the sites of modification of uridines to pseudouridines. This family includes human snoRNA ACA23 (SNORA23) and mouse snoMBI-1. Lineage: Eukaryota; Metazoa; Arthropoda; Malacostraca; Decapoda; Penaeidae. The record is from RNAcentral.